This 253-nucleotide ribosomal RNA is filed under the name uncultured bacterium. Its description in RNAcentral is "partial 16S ribosomal RNA". It matches the Rfam family "Bacterial small subunit ribosomal RNA", at positions 524 to 776 of the family's 1533-position model. The record is from RNAcentral.
UACGGAGGGAGCUAGCGUUGUUCGGAAUUACUGGGCGUAAAGCGUGCGUAGGCGGUUACUCAAGUCAGAGGUGAAAGCCCGGGGCUCAACCCCGGAACGGCCUUUGAAACUAGGUAGCUAGAAUCUUGGAGAGGUUAGUGGAAUUCCGAGUGUAGAGGUGAAAUUCGUAGAUAUUCGGAAGAACACCAGUGGCGAAGGCGACUAACUGGACAAGCAUUGACGCUGAGGCACGAAAGCGUGGGGAGCAAACAGG